CGCUAAUCUAGACCUACAGUCUUGUUCAAUAUUCUGCAAAACUGACUGCUCUAGAAGGACCAAAUGCAAACCAGUCCUGAUGCCAUGCUGUUUUGGGGGCAUUCUACAUUACAUUGAUAAAUCAUGCAGGCACAAGUCAUUUGUCAAAAAUACAUUUACUUGAAUCAAAUUUGCUUUGCACGCAGAGGAUGCUAGACUUGUACCUAGUUUUCACUAAAUAAUUUAUCAAACUGAUUUUCUUGAAAUACAAUAAAAAUCCAUAAUAAAAUUAA
This is a long non-coding RNA of Suricata suricatta (meerkat), 272 nucleotides long. RefSeq lists it as uncharacterized. Lineage: Eukaryota; Metazoa; Chordata; Mammalia; Carnivora; Herpestidae. The record is from RefSeq and is a predicted model, not a curated record. The transcript is spliced from 2 exons.